UACGAAGGGGGCUAGCGUUGCUCGGAAUCACUGGGCGUAAAGCGCACGUAGGCGGCUUUCUAAGUCAGGGGUGAAAUCCUGGAGCUCAACUCCAGAACUGCCUUUGAUACUGGAGAGCUUGAGUCCGGAAGAGGUGAGUGGAACUCCGAGUGUAGAGGUGAAAUUCGUAGAUAUCGAGAGGAACACCGGUGGCGAAGGCGGCCUUCUGGACAGUGACUGACGCUGAGACGCGAAAGCGUGGGGAGCAAACAGG
This 253-nucleotide ribosomal RNA is filed under the name uncultured bacterium. RNAcentral describes it as "partial 16S ribosomal RNA". It matches the Rfam family "Bacterial small subunit ribosomal RNA", at positions 524 to 776 of the family's 1533-position model. The record is from RNAcentral.